CAGUAGCCGCGGGAAUACGAAGGGGGCUAGCGUUGCUCGGAAUGACUGGGCGUAAAGGGCGCGUAGGCGGCGAUCAAAGUCAGGCGUGAAAUUCCUGGGCUCAACCUGGGGGCUGCGCUUGAUACUUGGUUGCUUGAGUGGGGAAGAGGGUCGUGGAAUUCCCAGUGUAGAGGUGAAAUUCGUAGAUAUUGGGAAGAACACCGGUGGCGAAGGCGGCGACCUGGUCCUUGACUGACGCUGAGGCGCGAAAGCGUGGGGAGCAAACAGGAUUAGAUACCCGAGUAGUCCCUGUCUCUUAUAC
Molecule: ribosomal RNA, 301 nt
Filed under: uncultured bacterium
Lineage: Bacteria
Description: partial 16S ribosomal RNA
Rfam family: Bacterial small subunit ribosomal RNA
Source: RNAcentral